This 252-nucleotide ribosomal RNA is filed under the name uncultured bacterium. RNAcentral's name for it is "partial 16S ribosomal RNA". It matches the Rfam family "Bacterial small subunit ribosomal RNA", at positions 524 to 776 of the family's 1533-position model. The record is from RNAcentral.
UACGUAGGGUGCAAGCGUUAAUCGGAAUACUGGGCGUAAAGCGUGCGCAGGCGGUUAUAUAAGACAGUUGUGAAAUCCCCGGGCUCAACCUGGGAAUUGCGAUGAAGACUGCAAGGCUUGAAUCUGGCAGAGGGGGGUAGAAUUCCACGUGUAGCAGUGAAAUGCGUAGAGAUGUGGAGGAACACCGAUGGCGAAGGCAGCCCCCUGGGUCAAGAUUGACGCUCAUGCACGAAAGCGUGGGGAGCAAACAGG